AGUGAACGCUGGCGGUAGGCCUAACACAUGCAAGUCGAACGGCAGCACAGUAAGAGCUUGCUCUUACGGGUGGCGAGUGGCAGACGGGUGAGGAAUACAUCGGAAUCUACUUUUUCGUGGGGGAUAACGUAGGGAAACUUACGCUAAUACCGCAUACGACCUACGGGUGAAAGCAGGGGAUCUUCGGACCUUGCGCGAUUGAAUGAGCCGAUGUCGGAUUAGCUAGUUGGCGGGGUAAAGGCCCACCAAGGCGACGAUCCGUAGCUGGUCUGAGAGGAUGAUCAGCCACACUGGAACUGAGACACGGUCCAGACUCCUACGGGAGGCAGCAGUGGGGAAUAUUGGACAAUGGGCGCAAGCCUGAUCCAGCCAUACCGCGUGGGUGAAGAAGGCCUUCGGGUUGUAAAGCCCUUUUGUUGGGAAAGAAAAGCGGCAGGUUAAUACCCCGCUGUUCUGACGGUACCCAAAGAAUAAGCACCGGCUAACUUCGUG
RNAcentral lists this ribosomal RNA (492 nucleotides) under uncultured bacterium. RNAcentral describes it as "partial 16S ribosomal RNA". It matches the Rfam family "Bacterial small subunit ribosomal RNA", at positions 29 to 507 of the family's 1533-position model. The record is from RNAcentral.